Molecule: ribosomal RNA, 307 nt
Filed under: Ligidium werneri
Lineage: Eukaryota; Metazoa; Arthropoda; Malacostraca; Isopoda; Ligiidae
Description: partial 12S ribosomal RNA
Source: RNAcentral
UUAGAUACCCUAUUAUUCCCAAACCAAAAUCAACCUAAAGGAAUAACUGCUAUAAGCACUAAACCUAAAGGAUUUGGCGGUGUUUUACCAAACCAGAGGAACCCGUUCUAUAAUCGUCAAAACACGAAAAAUCUUACCAAAAGGAAAGCCCAUAUACCGUCAUUUAAAUUACGCCGACAAGCUACAUUAAAAAAAGAAAAACUAAAAAAUUAGAUAAGGUGUGGCAUCUUUAGGAAAGAAUAGGUUACAUUUUAUAAGUAAGUGGAAUCUUUAUGAAAAAAAGAAGAAAAAGGAUUUGUCAGUAAUU